RNAcentral lists this ribosomal RNA (169 nucleotides) under uncultured rumen bacterium. RNAcentral's name for it is "partial 16S ribosomal RNA". It matches the Rfam family "Bacterial small subunit ribosomal RNA", at positions 338 to 524 of the family's 1533-position model. The record is from RNAcentral.
CCUACGGGAGGCAGCAGUGGGGGAUAUUGCACAAUGGGCGAAAGCCUGAUGCAGCGACGCCGCGUGAAGGAAGAAGUAUUUCGGUAUGUAAACUUCUAUCAGCGGGGAAGAAGAUGACGGUACCCGACUAAGAAGCCCCGGCUAACUACGUGCCAGCAGCCGCGGUAAU